AUGGCCGAGAUGGCCGUGAAGCUAAAAAGCGCUGCUGACCGUUGCAAGCUUCUUGAAAGGGAAGACCGGGCGGAGCAGACGGACUUGAAGAAGGCCGUUGCCGAUGCCAAGGAUGCUCGCUCUGCGAUGAGAGCUGCAAAGAAGGAGCUGCGUCAGGCCAGAGAAAUCACGGCUGGAAAGCCUUAUAUGCUGCGGAGGAAGUUUUGUGAUCCUAAACAUGCUCCGUUGGACCGACUGUGGAGUACGACGGACACCUAUCUGGAUUUGGCGGCGAGUGCCGCUGAUGCGAUCGAACACUUUCGAGAUCAAGAAGAUCGCGAAGUGGAAAAGCUUUUCUGGUCGCAGUUCCACAAUUCAGAGCGUCCACUGUCAGUGGCCGAUCGUCUGGCCGAAUGGGCCGAACUGAAUAGGCUGUCCGAACUCACCAUGAAGUGUGUCAUGAGUCACCUGUGGCCGGGGAGAUCGGAGCCGAAGAGUUAUUUCAGCUUGGUGCAGCAGUUCCUUGGUGCGAUGCCGCGUAUUAAUGCAAUUAAGAGGUCAGCAUGCAUAGAGGGUGCGCGGAUAGCUCUUGCCCGUGUCAAGACAUACUGGGCGGAAAUGGAGACCACCGCUGUUGCAUCCCAAGAUUCGGAUAGAAGCCGAGUACCUGCCGAGCACUAUUUUCAGGAAGUCCUGCAAGGCGCUCAUGUAAUCGAGACGCAAUGCUCGAAGGAUGCUAUCUUCGAAUAG
This 729-nucleotide ribosomal RNA is filed under the name Triticum aestivum (bread wheat). Its description in RNAcentral is "partial small subunit ribosomal RNA". Lineage: Eukaryota; Viridiplantae; Streptophyta; Magnoliopsida; Poales; Poaceae. The record is from RNAcentral.